AGAGUUGAUCAUGGCUCAGAUUGAACGCUGGCGGCAGGCCUAAUACAUGCAAGUCGAACGGUAACAUGGAAGUAGCAAUACUUUGAUGACGAGUGGCGGACGGGUGAGUAAUAUUUGGGAAUCUACCUAUCAGAGGGGGAUAGCAACUGGAAACGGUUGAUAAGACCGCGUACGCUCUGAGGAGGAAAGUAAUGGGAUCGAAAGACCAUUAGCUGAUAGAUGAGCCCAAACGGGAUUAGCUAGUAGGCGGGGUAAGGGCCCACCUAGGCGACGAUCUCUAGCUGGUUUUAGCGGAUGAUCAGCCACAUUGGAACUGAGACACGGUCCAAACUCCUACGGGAGGCAGCAGUAGGGAAUAUUGCACAAUGGAGGGAACUCUGAUGCAGCCAUGCCCGCGUGUGUGAAGAAGGCCUUCGGGUUGUAAAGCACUUUAGUUUUCGAGAAAGGGUGCAAUUCGAAUAGGGUUGUAUUCAGAUGUUAGAAAAAGAAUAAGUACCGGCAAACUCCGUGCCAGCCGCCGC
Molecule: ribosomal RNA, 521 nt
Filed under: uncultured bacterium
Lineage: Bacteria
Description: bacterial SSU rRNA
Rfam family: Bacterial small subunit ribosomal RNA
Source: RNAcentral